This 497-nucleotide ribosomal RNA is filed under the name uncultured bacterium. RNAcentral describes it as "partial 16S ribosomal RNA". It matches the Rfam family "Bacterial small subunit ribosomal RNA", at positions 28 to 507 of the family's 1533-position model. The record is from RNAcentral.
GAUGAACGCUGGCGGCGUGCCUAAUACAUGCAAGUCGAGCGAACAGACGAGGAGCUUGCUCCUCUGACGUUAGCGGCGGACGGGUGAGUAACACGUGGAUAACCUGCCUAUAAGACUGGGAUAACUUCGGGAAACCGGAGCUAAUACCGGAUAAUAUAUUGAACCGCAUGGUUCAAUAGUGAAAGACGGUUUUGCUGUCACUUAUAGAUGGAUCCGCGCCGCAUUAGCUAGUUGGUAAGGUAACGGCUUACCAAGGCAACGAUGCGUAGCCGACCUGAGAGGGGGAUCGGCCACACUGGAACUGAGACACGGUCCAGACUCCUACGGGAGGCAGCAGUAGGGAAUCUUCCGCAAUGGGCGAAAGCCUGACGGAGCAACGCCGCGUGAGUGAUGAAGGUCUUCGGAUCGUAAAACUCUGUUAUUAGGGAAGAACAAAUGUGUAAGUAACUAUGCACGUCUUGACGGUACCUAAUCAGAAAGCCACGGCUAACUACGUG